UCGAACGAAUGUAGCAAUACAUUAGUAGCGACCGGGUGCGUAACACGUAGCUGACCUGCCCCUCAGCGGGGGAUAACAUCUCGAAAGAGGUGCUAAUACCGCAUGAACUCUUGGUAGUUAGAGUGCCAAGAGGAAACUUCAGGGGUUGAGGGAGGGAGCUGCGGCCCAUCAGGUAGUUGGUAAGGUAGUGGCUUACCAAGCCGAUGACGGGUAGGGGGCCUGAGAGGGUGGUCCCCCACACUGGAACUGACACACGGUCCAGACUCCUACGGGAGGCAGCAGUAAGGGAUAUUGGUCAAUGGGCGCAAGCCUGAACCAGCAACGCCGCGUGCAGGAUGACGGCCUUCGGGUUGUAAACUGCUUUUGCAGGGGACGAGAGAGGACGGUACCAUGCGAAUAAGUCACGGCUAACUACGUGCCAGCAGCCGCGGUAACACGUAGGUGGCGAGCGUUAUCCGGAUUUACUGGGCGUAAAGCGUGUGCAGACUGACUAGCAAGUGGUGUAUGAAAUCGCGGUGCUUAACACAGCGAGGUUAUGCCAGACUGCUGGACUAGAGUGCGAGAGAGGGAUGUGGAAUUCCGGGUGUAGUGGUGAAAUGCGUAGAGAUCCGGAGGAACCCCAGAGGCGAAAGCGGCGUCCUGGCUCGCAACUGACGUUCAGACACGACAGCAUGGGGAGCGAACGGGAUUAGAAACCCCG
RNAcentral lists this ribosomal RNA (700 nucleotides) under uncultured bacterium. RNAcentral describes it as "bacterial SSU rRNA". It matches the Rfam family "Bacterial small subunit ribosomal RNA", at positions 62 to 789 of the family's 1533-position model. The record is from RNAcentral.